Non-coding RNA from Phrynosoma platyrhinos (Desert horned lizard), 73 nucleotides. The record is from the annotation of a GenBank genome assembly. Lineage: Eukaryota; Metazoa; Chordata; Lepidosauria; Squamata; Phrynosomatidae.
GCCAGUGUGGUGCAGUGGUCUGAAUGAUUGAUUAGGAUUCUGGGAGAUCAGGGUUCAAAUCCCUGCUCAGCCA